This 1174-nucleotide long non-coding RNA is filed under the name Astyanax mexicanus (Mexican tetra). Its description in RNAcentral is "lncRNA (ENSAMXG00005019850.1)". The record is from RNAcentral. Lineage: Eukaryota; Metazoa; Chordata; Actinopteri; Characiformes; Acestrorhamphidae.
UUUGCUAUGCAAGCUAGUUAGGUGGUUUGAUGGUGCUUUCACUUGUUUUUCAGCAAAAUGCUUUUCCUGUGUGUGUGUGUGUGUGUGUGUGUGUGAGAGAGAGAGAGAGAGAGAGAGAGAGAGAGAGAGGUUCAAAUUGAGCUGGUCAAGAUUGAGUGUUUGUGUUAUGUGGACAAAGAUAAAUACAUUGUAUGAAAAACAAGCUUCAUAUAUUAAUGUGUGAUUAAUAAGGAUGUGAUCUUUUUCUAUUUUAUUAUUACCAGCCAAUGAAGUGAAAACCAGAGCAGCUUCUUUUAGAACCCAAUAUGGAAAGCUUCUCAAACCUAAACCUAGUGGCAGUGGUCAGAAACCUCUAACAUCAAAACAACAAUGGAUUCUCACUCAUCUAGACUUUCUGAAGCCCCAUGUGACGCACAGAACCACAGCCACAACACUGGCACUUGACACUGUGGAGUGUGAGGACAUCGAAGGUAUAGAGGAGGAGCAGGAGCAGGAUGCAGACAUAACUGUUGACUGGGACAUAAGGUCAUUCCUGCCGUCACCCAUUACCUCUACAUCUGGAACCCCUUCACCUGGGACCCCUUUAUCAGCAUCAGGCCAGUCCUCUAGAUGUUCAACCCCUUUUCCAGAGGGAGAAACAUCAUUAUCUGCAUCUACAUUAUGUGUUGAAGAUGGUUCAAAAAUACCCCGCACCAGCAAGACCAAGGUCAGGUCCUCUGAUACAACCAACAUUGAACUUUUAAAGAUGUCUCUUUUGAAACAGAUUCAGUGUACCCUUUCUUCAGCUGAUAACAGUGAGGAUGUAUUUGGUCAACAAGUGGCAAGUGAGCUAAAAAAAAUAAUUUGUAAAUGAUUGUUUUCUGAGAACACAGGAACCAAAGACAAGAACCAAAAUAUACAAAAUGCACAAUGUACAAUCUAUGUCUACAGGAAAAAAAAAUUACAACACUGUUCUGCUGAGCAGCUGAUUUUAGUAGUAGUAGAAUUUUAAUAGUACCCAGAUGGCCUUCAACAGUUAAGGCCUCUUUCUAGCCAAUAAGUUACACCAUACUGUCUUGCCAUGAAAUGCUCCCAGCAGGUGAAACAAAGUACUGAUAAAGUGCAUCCCUUUGCUGCAACAGAAGGGUUUCUUGCUCUCCCCAUGGAUGCAGGCUGGAGUGCACCUUCUCUCCUC